RNAcentral lists this ribosomal RNA (389 nucleotides) under uncultured bacterium. RNAcentral describes it as "bacterial SSU rRNA". It matches the Rfam family "Bacterial small subunit ribosomal RNA", at positions 39 to 422 of the family's 1533-position model. The record is from RNAcentral.
GAAUUCGAUUCAGGCCUAACACAUGCAAGUCGAACGGCAGCACGGGUGCUUGCACCUGGUGGCGAAAAAAGAACGGGUGAGUAAUGUAUCGGAACGUACCCAGUAAUGGGGGAUAACACAUCGAAAGAUGUGCUAAUACCGCAUACGCCCUGAGGGGGAAAGCGGGGGAUCGUAAGACCUCGCGUUAUUGGAGCGGCCGAUAUCGGAUUAGCUAGUUGGUGGGGUAAAGGCCCACCAAGGCGACGAUCCGUAGCUGGUCUGAGAGGACGACCAGCCACACUGGAUUUGAGGGACGGUCCAGACUCCUACGGGAGGCAGCAGUGGGGAAUUUUGGACAAUGGGGGAAACCCUGAUCCAUUUAGAGGGCGUGAGUGAAGAAGGCCUUCGGG